RNAcentral lists this signal recognition particle RNA (277 nucleotides) under Carlito syrichta (Philippine tarsier). Its description in RNAcentral is "Metazoan signal recognition particle RNA (ENSTSYG00000029689.1)". It matches the Rfam family "Metazoan signal recognition particle RNA", at positions 1 to 265 of the family's 299-position model. From Rfam's summary of the family: The signal recognition particle (SRP) is a universally conserved ribonucleoprotein. It is involved in the co-translational targeting of proteins to membranes. Lineage: Eukaryota; Metazoa; Chordata; Mammalia; Primates; Tarsiidae. The record is from RNAcentral.
GCUGGGCGCGGUGGUGCGUGCCUAUAGUCCCAGCUACCAGGGAGACUGAGGCUGGAGGAUCACUUGAGUCCAGGAGUUCUGGGCUGCAGUACACUAUGCUAAUCAGGUGUCUGCACUAAGUUUUAAAUCAAUAUGGUGACCUCCCGGGAGCGGGAGACCACCAGGUUGCCUAAGGAGGGAUGAACUGGCCCAGGUUGCAAACAAAGCAGGUCAAAAUCUCCUGUGCUGAUCAAGUAUUCCUGACUUGCUCUUUUCCUAAAUUGAUUUCUCAUUUUGU